This is a long non-coding RNA of Mangifera indica (mango), 200 nucleotides long. RefSeq lists it as uncharacterized. The transcript has 3 exons. Lineage: Eukaryota; Viridiplantae; Streptophyta; Magnoliopsida; Sapindales; Anacardiaceae. The record is from RefSeq and is a predicted model, not a curated record.
UUUGGAGGACAUCGUCACGCGUACAUAUCCAGCCUCCGUCGCUCAGGAGAGGGACGAGGAUAUCCUACCGACAUCCCCCGUUGAUACCGCAAUACCAUCCCGUCACCCACACGAGGGUAGUCGCCCGGAGGACGCACCGGUUAGUCCUUCUGUUGCAUCGAUCGAGGGUUCUCCCUGAACACCUUCCCCGGAAGUUCAGG